CUACUUUCCUCAGUUAGCUUCAGGCCCCACUGAGGAGAAGUGUGAAGUUAGAAAGCUGAUGAAGCCAUUUCCUGCUUUAAUUAUUAUAUUCUGUUUUGCACAGAGAAUAAAUCCUGGUUGGCAAGAAAGAAGUCGUUCUCAUUUACACAACAUAACACAACG
Long non-coding RNA from Gymnodraco acuticeps, 162 nucleotides. RefSeq lists it as uncharacterized. The transcript is spliced from 3 exons. Lineage: Eukaryota; Metazoa; Chordata; Actinopteri; Perciformes; Bathydraconidae. The record is from RefSeq and is a predicted model, not a curated record.